AGCCCAAUAACGCUUUUCUGGCAGUUCACAAGGGCUACUGAAUUUACGAGGCACUUGCAAGUCAGGGUACUCCAAAGUUCCAGCACUGUGUUGAUAAUUCACUACAGAAAGUUGCUGCUACAGGCCUCUAUUUGGACCCUGUAGAACCUUGAAGAGAAGACCAUUUUUCAAUCUCUACAUGAAGACCAUCUUAAAAAGAACCCCCAG
Molecule: long non-coding RNA, 207 nt
Organism: Corvus hawaiiensis (hawaiian crow)
Lineage: Eukaryota; Metazoa; Chordata; Aves; Passeriformes; Corvidae
Exons: 3
Source: RefSeq, a predicted model, not a curated record